CAAUUGGAGAUAGUCAAUAAGCAGAAAAAUUAAAAAGUUAGAUGAGAGUAACUCCAGUUUGCUGCAAAACAGCACAUUUACAUUAUGUACAGAAAGAGGGGGGAAAAAAACAACCCAAAACAAGAUAGAAUAUCAAGUAUGAGGCCAUAUAAUAGUUCAGAUCCAACCAUCUAAACAAGGAGCAUUCUAGAAUCCAGAAAGCAACCUUUGGUUCGGGAUAGUGCGCUAGUUGGGAAUCUGAAAGCUCCAAGGUACAAAAAUCCUCUGAUUAAAAAAAAAAAAAUUAAAAAAUGUUGCCAUGUAAACUAGAAAUUGGCCGCUCUUACAGAUUUGAUAUGAGCUGAAGCUAAGAAAAGUGGCCAUAGAAAGGGAAUCCCUUCAACUUUGCUCAAAGGAACAAUAUAGUGUCAGGAACACAAAUGUUUAUUCCUGACACUAUAGUUCAAAAUGCGCCAUCUAGGCCUUUGCCCCGUUAAAAAGGUGUAAAACUCAUCUUAUUACCAGCACCCUUGCGGGUCUUGUAGGGGC
Pelobates cultripes (western spadefoot toad) is the source of this 528-nucleotide non-coding RNA. NCBI's taxonomy places the organism in Eukaryota, Metazoa, Chordata, Amphibia, Anura, Pelobatidae. The record is from the annotation of a GenBank genome assembly.